RNAcentral lists this ribosomal RNA (494 nucleotides) under uncultured bacterium. RNAcentral's name for it is "partial 16S ribosomal RNA". It matches the Rfam family "Bacterial small subunit ribosomal RNA", at positions 28 to 507 of the family's 1533-position model. The record is from RNAcentral.
GACGAACGCUGGCGGCGUGCUUAACACAUGCAAGUCGAACGGAAAGGCCUGCUUUCCCUUGUGGAUUGCGGGUACUCGAGUGGCGAACGGGUGAGUAACACGUGAGUGAUCUGCCCCCAACUUGGGUAUAAGCCUGGGAAACUGGGUCUAAUUCCCGAUAGGACUGCAGGGUGGUGCCUGUGGUGGAAAACGAUUUUCUAGUGGUUGGGGAUGAGCUCGCGGCCUAUCAGCUUGUUGGUGGGGUAAUGGCCUACCAAGGCGGCGACGGGUAGCCGGCCUGAGAGGGUGGACGGCCACAUUGGGACUGAGAUACGGCCCCGACUCCUACGGGAGGCAGCAGUGGUGAAUAUUACACAAUGGGCGGAAGCCUGAUGCAGCGACGCCGCGUGGGGGAUGACGGCCUUCGGGUUUUAAACUCCUUUCGACCGCGAGGAAGCCACCUGGUUGGAAGGGUGGUGACGGUAGUGGUAGAAGAAGCACCGGCUAACUACGUG